RNAcentral lists this transfer RNA (70 nucleotides) under Lanius collurio (red-backed shrike). RNAcentral's name for it is "tRNA-Val". It matches the Rfam family "tRNA". From Rfam's summary of the family: Transfer RNA (tRNA) molecules are approximately 80 nucleotides in length. Their secondary structure includes four short double-helical elements and three loops (D, anti-codon, and T loops). Further hydrogen bonds mediate the characteristic L-shaped molecular structure. tRNAs have two regions of fundamental functional importance: the anti-codon, which is responsible for specific mRNA codon recognition, and the 3' end, to which the tRNAs corresponding amino acid is attached (by aminoacyl-tRNA synthetases). tRNAs cope with the degeneracy of the genetic code in two manners: having more than one tRNA (with a specific anti-codon) for a particular amino acid; and 'wobble' base-pairing, i.e. permitting non-standard base-pairing at the 3rd anti-codon position. The record is from RNAcentral. Lineage: Eukaryota; Metazoa; Chordata; Aves; Passeriformes; Laniidae. RNAcentral also lists the same sequence under 1 other name.
CAAGACGUAGCUUUAAAGAAAGCAUUCAGCUUACACCUGAAAGAUGUCUGAUAAUACCAGAUCGUCUUGA